GGAUAACGUUUGGAAACGAACGCUAAUACCGCAUGAUAUUAUUGAGCUGCAUGGCUUGAUAAUCAAAGGAGCAAUCCGCUGAAAGAUGGGCUCGCGUCCGAUUAGGUAGUUGGCGGGGCAACGGCCCACCAAGCCGACGAUCGGUAGCCGGACUGAGAGGUUGAACGGCCACAUUGGGACUGAGACACGGCCCAGACUCCUACGGGAGGCAGCAGUGAGGGAUAUUGGUCAAUGGGGGAAACCCUGAACCAGCAACGCCGCGUGAGGGAAGACGGUUUUCGGAUUGUAAACCUCUGUCCUCUGUGAAGAUAAUGACGGUAGCAGAGGAGGAAGCUCCGGCUAACUACGUGCCAGCAGCCGCGGUAAUACGUAGGGAGCAAGCGUUGUCCGGAUUUACUGGGUGUAAAGGGUGCGUAGGCGGCUUUGCAAGUCAGAAGUGAAAUCCAUGGGCUUAACCCAUGAACUGCUUUUGAAACUGCAGAGCUUGAGUGGAGUAGAGGUAGGCGGAAUUCCCGGUGUAGCGGUGAAAUGCGUAGAGAUCGGGAGGAACACCAGUGGCGAAGGCGGCCUGCUGGGCUCUAACUGACGCUGAGGCACGAAAGCGUGGGUAGCAAACAGGAUUAGAUACCCUGGUAGUCCACGCUGUAAACGAUGAUUACCAGGUGUGGGUGGACUGACCCCAUCCGUGCCGGAG
RNAcentral lists this ribosomal RNA (694 nucleotides) under uncultured bacterium. RNAcentral's name for it is "bacterial SSU rRNA". It matches the Rfam family "Bacterial small subunit ribosomal RNA", at positions 141 to 851 of the family's 1533-position model. The record is from RNAcentral.